GAUCCUGGUUCAAGAUGAACGCUAGCUACAGGCUUAACACAUGCAAGUCGAGGGGAAACGACAUCGAAAGCUUGCUUUUGAUGGGCGUCGACCGGCGCACGGGUGAGUAACGCGUAUCCAACCUGCCCACCACUUGGGGAUAACCUUGCGAAAGUAAGACUAAUACCCAAUGAUAUCUCUAGAAGACAUCUGAAAGAGAUUAAAGAUUCAUCGGUGAUGGAUGGGGAUGCGUCUGAUUAG
Molecule: ribosomal RNA, 240 nt
Filed under: uncultured bacterium
Lineage: Bacteria
Description: partial 16S ribosomal RNA
Rfam family: Bacterial small subunit ribosomal RNA
Source: RNAcentral